RNAcentral lists this ribosomal RNA (274 nucleotides) under uncultured bacterium. RNAcentral's name for it is "partial 16S ribosomal RNA". It matches the Rfam family "Bacterial small subunit ribosomal RNA", at positions 523 to 796 of the family's 1533-position model. The record is from RNAcentral.
AUACGGAGGGUCCAAGCGUUAUCCGGAAUCAUUGGGUUUAAAGGGUCCGUAGGCGGGCAAUUAAGUCAGAGGUGAAGUCCCACAGCUCAACUGUGGAACUGCCUUUGAUACUGGUUGUCUUGAAUUAUAGUGAAGUAGAUAGAAUAUGUAGUGUAGCGGUGAAAUGCAUAGAUAUUACAUAGAAUACCGAUUGCGAAGGCAGUCUACUAACUGUAUAUUGACGCUGAUGGACGAAAGCGUGGGGAGCGAACAGGAUUAGAAACCCUAGUAGUCC